UCCUACUGAGGAAGUCAUUAUGUAGCAAACUCCAAGCUGAGAUAAUCAAAUAAUAACUGGCAAUUUAUAACUUCCAAAGUAAUAUUCUUAAAUAUGGAAUUGUGAAAGAAAACAUUUGCCAACAGCAUUAUUGCCGUGGAGAUGAUUAGUUUUUAAAACAACAAACAAAGCGCCUCUUUCCUUGGUGGCCACCUGCUCUUGCCUUUGAGACAUUUCGAGCAUUCAGGAGAGGCUCAUCUGUGGUUCUGGCUCAGAGUCUCUUGUGUCACAGGUCAGCUGGACGUCCAUCAUCUGAAGGCUUGACCAGGGCUGCAGGAGCCACUGUCAAAGGAGCUCCCUCCCAAGGGUGGUGAAUUUAUGCUGACUGUUGGCU
Molecule: long non-coding RNA, 373 nt
Filed under: Homo sapiens (human)
Lineage: Eukaryota; Metazoa; Chordata; Mammalia; Primates; Hominidae
Description: non-protein coding lnc-GGTLC1-4:1
Source: RNAcentral